GUUUUGAAUGCAUUCACCUAUGCGGUUAUUCUGAAGACACAAAAAGAAACACGGAGAAGGAUUUAUCUUGUUGACUCCUUUCAAAUGACUGCAAUAUGGCAAGGAUCAUUCCGGGGAUUAAGAAAGCUUGACCCAAUGGCCUAUGAUGUCCUCAUAGGACCAGUAUGUGACAAACAGCACUGGACACUAGUGGUAAUUUAUCCAAAGGAGAAGCAUGCCCUAUACCUUGACCCUCUGGGGUAAACCCCUGACAACAUAAAAAAAAUGCAGAGAUAUGA
Centropristis striata (black sea bass) is the source of this 278-nucleotide long non-coding RNA. RefSeq lists it as uncharacterized. The transcript has 3 exons. NCBI's taxonomy places the organism in Eukaryota, Metazoa, Chordata, Actinopteri, Perciformes, Serranidae. The record is from RefSeq and is a predicted model, not a curated record.